This 465-nucleotide ribosomal RNA is filed under the name uncultured bacterium. RNAcentral's name for it is "partial 16S ribosomal RNA". It matches the Rfam family "Bacterial small subunit ribosomal RNA", at positions 28 to 507 of the family's 1533-position model. The record is from RNAcentral.
GACGAACGCUGGCGGCGUGCUUAACACAUGCAAGUCGAACGGAAAGGCCCCUUUGGGGGUACUCGAGUGGCGAACGGGUGAGUAACACGUGAGUAACCUGCCCUUGACUUCGGGAUAACUUCAGGAAACUGGGGCUAAUACCGGAUAGGAAUCCUUGCUGCAUGGUGGGGGUUGGAAAGCUUCGGCGGUUUUGGAUGGACUCGCGGCUUAUCAGCUUGUUGGUGGGGUAGUGGCUUACCAAGGCUUUGACGGGUAGCCGGCCUGAGAGGGCGACCGGCCACAUUGGGACUGAGAUACGGCCCAGACUCCUACGGGAGGCAGCAGUGGGGAAUAUUGCACAAUGGGCGGAAGCCGGAUGCAGCAACGCCGCGUGCGGGAUGACGGCCUUCGGGUUGGAAACCGCUUUCAGCAGGGGCGAAGCUUGUGGUGACGGUACCUGCAGAAGAAGCACCGGCUAACUACGUG